RNAcentral lists this long non-coding RNA (930 nucleotides) under Anas platyrhynchos platyrhynchos (common mallard). Its description in RNAcentral is "lncRNA (ENSAPLG00000021112.1)". Lineage: Eukaryota; Metazoa; Chordata; Aves; Anseriformes; Anatidae. The record is from RNAcentral.
GACAAAGAAGGACAGCUGCAGCAGCCAACAUACAAGUCUGCCAAUAUUUUGUACAAAUAGAAGUAGAUGGUUUGUUGCAGCACAGAAAGUUUGUUGUGCACAUGUGGACUGAUGCCAAUGGAACCAAUGGAAUGUCUCUGGGUACACAUUCACUGGGACUGAGAGCUCCCCUUGGAGGGCAUGGACUAAGUCACUACAUUUCAGUCUUUGAGUUAUUCCACUUCUUGGGACCAAGAGUUUUGGUACAUCGAUUGUCCAAGAUGAAUGUCGCAUUGAGGUGUGAAAGGAUGAAGUUGAAAGGCCUACUUAACACAGACAUGGCACUGGUGACAGAAUUAAGUGGUAAUGAUAUAUAACAAAAUGCUAUUACAUGAAAUAGGAUCUUUUUCACACAGUUUUUCGAUUUUGUCUGAUAGGAGUAGAAGAACAAAAUGAAAAACUAUUCAUCAAUCAGAGGUCUGGCUAGGUCAGACACUUUGGUCAAGCAAUGUGAGUAAUUCUACCUACCUGCACUAUAAUUUAUUGCAAAAUUAAUGCCAUAACAUGCAAAGCCAUUGUUACACAAAAUUCUUAACCCCAGGAAAAAAAAAAAAAAAAAAGCAAAUUAGCAAAUUUUCUUUCUUUUUCUAGCUCUCUCUUUUUUUUUUUUUUUUUUUUUCUUUUUCUCUAACCUGACAAGAUUAAACCGUUUUAGUAAGUGGGGGUUUAAGGAUGAUUCACUUCUAAUGAUUAAAAAAGGGACCUUGAGGAGAGUUUGAUAGACUUUCUCAGUCAUUGACUAAACCAAGAUAUAUUAAAAAGGGGAACAAAAGAGAGUGCAAGGUAUUCAUUUUUGUUAAAGUUUGCCUGCUUCAUUACAACAGAAUGAAAUCAAGUCUUACUGGGAAGAACAAGCUUUGAUAUACUCUACUUUCUGUGAAAAUUUUCAGG